RNAcentral lists this ribosomal RNA (496 nucleotides) under uncultured bacterium. RNAcentral's name for it is "bacterial SSU rRNA". It matches the Rfam family "Bacterial small subunit ribosomal RNA", at positions 29 to 502 of the family's 1533-position model. The record is from RNAcentral.
AACUAACGCUGGCGGCGUGCCUAACACAUGCAAGUCGUACGAGAAAGUCGGCUUCGGCUGAUGAGUAAAGUGGCGCACGGGUGAGUAACGCGUGGAUAAUCUGCCCUUGAGUGUGGAAUAACGUACCGAAAGGUGCGCUAAUACCGCAUAAUGCCUGGCAACACAAGUUGUCCGGCCAAAGAAGGCCUCUGUUUACAAGCUUUUGCUCAAGGAUGAGUCCGCGUACCAUUAGCUAGUUGGUGGGGUAACGGCCUACCAAGGCUACGAUGGUUAGCUGGUCUGAGAGGAUGAUCAGCCACACUGGAACUGAGACACGGCCCAGACUCCUACGGGAGGCAGCAGUGAGGAAUUUUCCGCAAUGGGCGCAAGCCUGACGGAGCGACGCCGCGUGAGGGAUGACAGCUUUCGGGUUGUAAACCUCUUUUAUUAAGGAAAAGAUCUAUAUGCUAAUAUCAUGUAGAUUUGAUGGUACUUAUUGAAUAAGCCCCGGCUAACG